AAAGUGAAUAGUGAAAUCUGGUGGCUCAACCAUUCAGGCUAUUAUUCAAACUCACACACUCGAGAACAGCAGAGGUAACUGGAAUUUCUGAAGUAGGGGUAAUAUCCGUAGAUAUCAGAAGGAACACCGAUGGCGUAGGCAGGUUACUGGGCUGUUUCUGACACUGAGGCACGAAAGCGUGGGGAGCGAACCGGAUUAGAUACCCGGGUAGUCCCAACGCCGUAAAACGAUGGAUACUA
RNAcentral lists this ribosomal RNA (239 nucleotides) under uncultured Candidatus Saccharibacteria bacterium. RNAcentral's name for it is "partial 16S ribosomal RNA". It matches the Rfam family "Bacterial small subunit ribosomal RNA", at positions 584 to 818 of the family's 1533-position model. Lineage: Bacteria; Candidatus Saccharimonadota. The record is from RNAcentral.